GACAGAGGAGCCAAGCGUUGUCCGGACUGACUGGGCGUAAAGCGCCCGCAGGCGGUCGUUCAAGUCGCGUGUGAAAGCCCCCGGCUCAACUGGGGAGGGUCACGCGAUACUGGUCGACUCGAAGGCAGGAGAGGGUAGUGGAAUUCCCGGUGUAGUGGUGAAAUGCGUAGAUAUCGGGAGGAACACCAGUGGCGAAGGCGACUACCUGGCCUGUUUCUUGACGCUGAGGCGCGAAAGCUAGGGGAGCAAACGGGG
RNAcentral lists this ribosomal RNA (255 nucleotides) under uncultured bacterium. Its description in RNAcentral is "partial 16S ribosomal RNA". It matches the Rfam family "Bacterial small subunit ribosomal RNA", at positions 524 to 777 of the family's 1533-position model. The record is from RNAcentral.